This 253-nucleotide ribosomal RNA is filed under the name uncultured bacterium. RNAcentral describes it as "partial 16S ribosomal RNA". It matches the Rfam family "Bacterial small subunit ribosomal RNA", at positions 524 to 776 of the family's 1533-position model. The record is from RNAcentral.
UACGAAGGGGGCAAGCGUUGUUCGGAAUUAUUGGGCGUAAAGGGUGCGUAGGCGGCUUUUUAAGUUUGGUGUGAAAUCUCCCGGCUCAACUGGGAGGGUGCGCCGAAUACUGAGAGGCUAGAGUGUGGGAGAGGAAAGUGGAAUUCCUGGUGUAGCGGUGAAAUGCGUAGAUAUCAGGAGGAACACCGGUGGUGUAAACGGCUUUCUGGACCAUAACUGACGCUGAGGCACGAAAGCGUGGGUAGCAAACAGG